CAUAGGGGAUACCAACAUGGAGUUUUGAGUCCAUGAUGGACUCCGAGUUUAAUAGAAUGCUUGCUGCUGCCACAGUUUAUACUAAGACGCAAGGACAAGUUUUUCCUUGCGGUAGAGGCAAUAACUACUGCCUCCCACCAAAAAAUGUUAAUAAGUGCCGUGGGUUAUACGACCGGACUUGGAAUCGCUUUAAGUAGCUUAUUUUGCAGGUGUUUCAUGUUAAACCAGAAAUUCUGAUUAUUUGCAUUGCUUGUUCUGGCUCGUGGUUUGUGUUUGUUCCAUUGUCUUCCCACAUCUUUGGAACUGAAGUUAGAAAUUUCAAUGUCGAGGCUAUGAUUGCGAUUCCUAGCAACUUUAUUUCUUAUAGCAAGUCCAGAGUUGUGAGAUUUUAAAGGAUUUGAAGUGUUAUUUACGUUAUAGUUCUUGAUUUUUUUUCUAAACUAGUAGUUUUUGCAGAGUUACAGAGUUUUAUUUCUAAAAGAACAUGUAUUAUUAUUUUUUAUUGUUACAGAGUUUAAAACUUAUAAGAUAUAUUAAUUUUUUUUUCUUUUA
RNAcentral lists this unclassified non-coding RNA (552 nucleotides) under Hevea brasiliensis (rubber tree). The record is from RNAcentral. Lineage: Eukaryota; Viridiplantae; Streptophyta; Magnoliopsida; Malpighiales; Euphorbiaceae.